RNAcentral lists this ribosomal RNA (273 nucleotides) under uncultured bacterium. RNAcentral describes it as "partial 16S ribosomal RNA". It matches the Rfam family "Bacterial small subunit ribosomal RNA", at positions 524 to 796 of the family's 1533-position model. The record is from RNAcentral.
UACGAAGGGGGCGAGCGUUGUUCGGAUUUACUGGGCGUAAAGGGCGCGCAGGCGGCUCGUUUUGUCAGGCGUGAAAGCCCCGGGCUUAACCUGGGAACUGCGUUUGAUACGGACGGGCUAGAGUUCGGGAGAGGAGAGUGGAAUUCCCAGUGUAGAGGUGAAAUUCGUAGAUAUUGGGAAGAACACCGGUGGCGAAGGCGGCUCUCUGGACCGAGACUGACGCUGAGGCGCGAAAGCGUGGGGAGCAAACAGGAUUAGAAACCCCUGUAGUCC